GACGAACCGAGCGAACGUUGUUCGGAAUCACUGGGCUUAAAGGGCGCGUAGGCGGCUUACCAAGUCAGGGGUGAAAUUUUGCGGCUUUACCGUAACAGUGCCUUUGAUACUGGUAGGCUCGAGGGAGGUAGGGUUCGCGGAACUUCUGGUGGAGCGGUGAAAUGCGUUGAUAUUCACAGGAACUCCGGUGGCGAAGGCGAGGUGCUGGACCCCAUCUGACGCUGAGGCGCGAAAGCCAGGGGAGCGAACGGG
RNAcentral lists this ribosomal RNA (252 nucleotides) under uncultured bacterium. RNAcentral's name for it is "partial 16S ribosomal RNA". It matches the Rfam family "Bacterial small subunit ribosomal RNA", at positions 524 to 776 of the family's 1533-position model. The record is from RNAcentral.